AGCAGCCGCGGUAAUUCCAGCUCCAAUAGCGUAUAUUAAAGUUGUUGCAGUUAAAAAGCUCGUAGUUGAAUUUCGGGAUCAAUAUAUCGGUCGUGCCUUGGUACGUACUGGUAUCAUUGGUUUCUCCUUUCUGACGAACCAUGAUGUCAUUAAUUUGGUGUUAUGGGAAGUUAGGACUGUUACUUUGAAAAAAAUUAGAGUGUUUAAAGCAGGCUUUAGCUUGAAUACAUUAGCAUGGAAUAAUGAAAUAGGACGUUCGAACCUAUUUUGUUGGUUUCUAGGAUCAACGUAAUGAUUAAUAGGGAUAGUUGGGGGGCAUUAGUAUUCAAUUGUCAGAGGUGAAAUUCUUGGAUUUAUUGAAGACUAACUACUGCGAAAGCAUUUGCCAAGGAUGUUUUCAUUAAUCAAGAACGAAAGUUAGGGGAUCGAAGACGAUCAGAUACCGUCGUAGUCUUAACCAUAAACUAUGCCGACUAGGGAUCGGAUGAUGUUAAUUUUUUAAUGACUCAUUCGGCGCCUU
This 520-nucleotide ribosomal RNA is filed under the name uncultured Glomus. RNAcentral describes it as "SSU rRNA". It matches the Rfam family "Eukaryotic small subunit ribosomal RNA", at positions 569 to 1089 of the family's 1831-position model. Lineage: Eukaryota; Fungi; Glomeromycota; Glomeromycetes; Glomerales; Glomeraceae. The record is from RNAcentral.